AGUGAACGCUGGCGGUAGGCCUAACACAUGCAAGUCGAACGGCAGCACAGUAAGAGCUUGCUCUUACGGGUGGCGAGUGGCGGACGGGUGAGGCAUACAUCGGAAUCUACUUUUUCGUGGGGGAUAACGUAGGGAAACUUACGCUAAUACCGCAUACGACCUACGGGUGAAAGCAGGGGAUCUUCGGACCUUGCGCGAUUGAAUGAGCCGAUGUCGGAUUAGCUAGUUGGCGGGGUAAAGGCCCACCAAGGCGACGAUCCGUAGCUGGUCUGAGAGGAUGAUCGGCCACACUGGAACUGAGACACGGUCCAGACUCCUACGGGAGGCAGCAGUGGGGAAUAUUGGACAAUGGGCGCAAGCCUGAUCCAGCCAUACCGCGUGGGUGAAGAAGGCCUUCGGGUUGUAAAGCCCUUUUGUUGGGAAAGAAAAGCGGCAGGUUAAUACCCCGCUGUUCUGACGGUACCCAAAGAAUAAGCACCGGCUAACUUCGUG
This 492-nucleotide ribosomal RNA is filed under the name uncultured bacterium. RNAcentral describes it as "partial 16S ribosomal RNA". It matches the Rfam family "Bacterial small subunit ribosomal RNA", at positions 29 to 507 of the family's 1533-position model. The record is from RNAcentral.